This 500-nucleotide ribosomal RNA is filed under the name uncultured Glomeromycotina. RNAcentral describes it as "partial small subunit ribosomal RNA". It matches the Rfam family "Eukaryotic small subunit ribosomal RNA", at positions 591 to 1092 of the family's 1831-position model. The record is from RNAcentral. Lineage: Eukaryota; Fungi; Glomeromycota.
CCAAUAGCGUAUAUUAAAGUUGUUGCAGUUAAAAAGCUCGUAGUUGAAUUUCGGGGUUAGCAGGUUGGUCGUGCCAAUGGUAUGCACUGGCCUUGCUGAUUCCUCCCUCUUGUAGAACCGUAAUGCCAUUAAGUUGGUGUUGCGGGGAAACAGGACUGUUACUUUGAAAAAAUUAGAGUGUUUAAAGCAGGCUAACGCUUGAAUACAUUAGCAUGGAAUAAUGAAAUAGGACGAUCGAUCCUAUUUUGUUGGUUUCUAGGAUUGACGUAAUGAUUAAUAGGGAUAGUUGGGGGCAUUAGUAUUCAAUUGUCAGAGGUGAAAUUCUUGGAUUUAUUGAAGACUAAAUACUGCGAAAGCAUUUGCCAAGGAUGUUUUCAUUAAUCAAGAACGAAAGUUAGGGGAUCGAAGACGAUCAGAUACCGUCGUAGUCUUAACCAUAAACUAUGCCGACUAGGGAUCGGAUGAUGUUAAUUUUUUAAUGACUCAUUCGGCGCCUUACG